GACGAACGCUGGCGGCGUGCUUAACACAUGCAAGUCGAACGGAAAGGCCCUGCUUUUGUGGGGUGCUCGAGUGGCGAACGGGUGAGUAACACGUGAGUAACCUGCCCUUGACUUUGGGAUAACUUCAGGAAACUGGGGCUAAUACCGGAUAGGAGAUCCUGCUGCAUGGUGGGGGUUGGAAAGUUUCGGCGGUUUGGGAUGGACUCGCGGCUUAUCAGCUUGUUGGUGGGGUAGUGGCUUACCAAGGCUUUGACGGGUAGCCGGCCUGAGAGGGUGACCGGCGACAAUGGGACUGAGAUACGGCGCAGACUCCUACGGGAGGCAGCAGUCGGGAAUAUUGCACAACGGGCGGAAGCCUGUUGCAGCAACGCCGCGUGCGGAAUGCCGGCCUACGGGUUGUAAACCGCUUUCGCCUGUGACGAAGCGUGAGUGACGGUAAUGGGUAAAGAAGCACCGGCUAACUACGUG
This 468-nucleotide ribosomal RNA is filed under the name uncultured bacterium. RNAcentral's name for it is "partial 16S ribosomal RNA". It matches the Rfam family "Bacterial small subunit ribosomal RNA", at positions 28 to 507 of the family's 1533-position model. The record is from RNAcentral.